AAGUACUUUCAACAAGAAAGAACUAAUAAAAUUUAAUAAAUUUUAUUAUUGACGUUACUUGUAAAAGAAGCACCGGCUAACUCCGUGCCAGCAGCCGCGGUAAUACGGAGGGUGCGAGCGUUAAUCGGAAUUACUGGGCGUAAAGAGCACGUAGGCGGUAUAUUAAGUCAGAUGUGAAAUCCCUGAGCUCAACUUAGGAAUUGCAUUUGAAACUGAUAUACUUGAGUUUCAUAGAGGGGGGUAGAAUUCCAGGUGUAGCGGUGAAAUGCGUAGAUAUCUGGAGGAAUACCAGUGGCGAAGGCGACCCCCUGGACGAAUACUGACGCUCAGGUGCGAAAGCAUGGGUAGCAAACAGGAUUAGAUACCCUGGUAGUCCAUGCUGUAAACGAUGUCGACUUGGAGGUUGUAAGCUUGACUUGUAACUUUCGUAGCUAACGCGUUAAGUCGACCGCCUGGGGAGUACGACCGCAAGGUUAAAACUCAAAUGAAUUGACGGGGGCCCGCACAAGCGGUGGAGCAUGUGGUUUAAUUCGAUGCAACGCGAAAAACCUUACCUGGUCUUGACAUCCAUGGAAUUUAGUAGAGAUACUUUAGUGCUUCGGGAACCAUGAGACAGGUGCUGCAUGGCUGUCGUCAGCUCGUGUUGUGAAAUGUUGGGUUAAGUCCCGCAACGAGCGCAACCCUUGUCCUUUGUUGCCAACGGUUCGGCCGGGAACUCAAAGGAAACUGCCGGUGAUAAACCGGAGGAAGGUGGGGACGACGUCAAGUSGKCAUGGCCCUUACGACCAGGGCUACACACGUGCUACAAUGGUAUAUACAAAGGGAAGCAUCCUCGCGAGAGUAAGCGGAUCUCACAAAAUAUAUCGUAGUUCGGAUUGGAGUCUGCAACUCGACUCCAUGAAGUCGGAAUCGCUAGUAAUCGUAGAUCAGAACGCUACGGUGAAUACGUUCCCGGGCCUUGUACACACCGCCCGUCACACCAUGGAAGUGAGUUGUAAAAGAAGUAAGUUG
RNAcentral lists this ribosomal RNA (1011 nucleotides) under bacterium endosymbiont of Plateumaris fulvipes. Its description in RNAcentral is "bacterial SSU rRNA". It matches the Rfam family "Bacterial small subunit ribosomal RNA", at positions 428 to 1433 of the family's 1533-position model. The record is from RNAcentral.